This is a non-coding RNA of Pelobates cultripes (western spadefoot toad), 149 nucleotides long. The record is from the annotation of a GenBank genome assembly. Lineage: Eukaryota; Metazoa; Chordata; Amphibia; Anura; Pelobatidae.
AGGGGGCCCAGCACACAGCUUCUACUCUUCUCUUCUCCUCUCUUCCAAUUACUCUCGCGAGAGUAUGGCAACGCUCAGAAGGCCGCAGGUCUCGCGAGAGUUAUUAGAAGAGGCGAAGAGAAGAGUAGAAGCUGUGUGCUGGGCCCCCU